This 468-nucleotide ribosomal RNA is filed under the name uncultured bacterium. RNAcentral's name for it is "bacterial SSU rRNA". It matches the Rfam family "Bacterial small subunit ribosomal RNA", at positions 28 to 496 of the family's 1533-position model. The record is from RNAcentral.
GACGAACGCUGGCGGCGUGCUUAAUACAUGCAAGUCAACUGAACUUAAGAUAGCAAUAUUUUAAGGGGGGUGGCGCACGGGUGAGUAACACGUAGGUAAUCUGCCUUUAGGUCUGACACAACCCCGAGAAAUCGGGGCUAAUAUCAGAUGAUGCAGCGGCUCGACAUCGAGACAGUUGUUAAACCUUCGGGGCCUAAAGAUGAGCCUGCGUCUGAUUAGGUAGUUGGCGGAGUAAAGCCCACCAAGCCUGCGAUCAGUAGCUGGUCUGAGAGGAUGAUCAGCCACACUGGAACUGAGACACGGUCCAGACUCCUACGGGAGGCAGCAGUAAGGAAUAUUGCUCAAUGGCCGAAAGGCUGAAGCAGCAACGCCGCGUGGAGGAUGAAAUACUUUUGUAUGUAAACUCCUGUAAGAAGGGAAAAUAUUCCGAUUUAUCGGAAUUGAUUGUACCUUCAGAGUAAGCCCCGG